RNAcentral lists this ribosomal RNA (722 nucleotides) under uncultured Actinomycetes bacterium. RNAcentral describes it as "bacterial SSU rRNA". It matches the Rfam family "Bacterial small subunit ribosomal RNA", at positions 189 to 925 of the family's 1533-position model. The record is from RNAcentral. Lineage: Bacteria; Bacillati; Actinomycetota; Actinomycetes.
AUCACUGAGUUUUGAAAGAAUUUCGGUGGARGAUGACUUCGCGGCCUAUCAGCUAGUUGGUGAGGUAAUGGCUCACCAAGGCAACGACGGGUAGCCGGCCUGAGAGGGCGACCGGCCACACUGGGACUGAGACACGGCCCAGACUCCUACGGGAGGCAGCAGUGGGGAAUAUUGGGCAAUGGAGGAAACUCUGACCCAGCGACGCCGCGUGCGGGAUGAAGGCCUUCGGGUUGUAAACCGCUUUCGGUAGGGAAGAAGCGAAAGUGACGGUACCUACAAAAGAAGCACCGGCUAACUAUGUGCCAGCAGCCGCGGUAAUACAUAGGGUGCAAGCGUUGUCCGGAAUUAUUGGGCGUAAAGAGCUCGUAGGUCGUUUGUUACGUCGGAUGUGAAAACCUGAGGCUCAACCUCAGGCCUGCAUUCGAUACGGGCAAACUAGAGUUUGGUAGGGGAGACUGGAAUUCCUGGUGUAGCGGUGGAAUGCGCAGAUAUCAGGAGGAACACCAAUGGCGAAGGCAGGUCUCUGGGCCAAUACUGACACUGAGGAGCGAAAGUCUGGGGAGCGAACAGGAUUAGAUACCCUGGUAGUCCAGACCGUAAACGGUGGGCACUAGUUGUGGGAACCUUCCACGGUUUCUGCGACGCAGCUAACGCAUUAAGUGCCCCGCCUGGGGGAGUACGAUCGCAAGAUUAAAACUCAAAGGAAUUGACGGGGCCCCGCA